GUAAUGCCAGUUGCCAUAUUUUUCUGUAUGUCACUCAUUCGCUUAUACAAAAAGUACCAAUUUGUACACUAGUCUAGUGGAUUUUUUCCCUCUAUCUCUCUAUGUCUCUUACACACAGAGACUAACACAGACAUGUAUAUGCUCAUUAUUGCUGUUCAAACUGAUGUUCAAAUUUCCAAGCACCACCUGAACGCCUCAUUUAUUUUUAACCCAUCACUGGACCAACUGUCAUCAUUCCGCUUUGCUCUCUGCUGUGGAACUUGACUGACAUCUGUGCUUUGCCUGUGUGCAGAAGAACAAGGACCAGAUCUCCAGUCUUCUCUGUCACAUCCCAACCCCC
Oreochromis aureus is the source of this 340-nucleotide long non-coding RNA. The record is from Ensembl. NCBI's taxonomy places the organism in Eukaryota, Metazoa, Chordata, Actinopteri, Cichliformes, Cichlidae.